GGAUGAGCCCGCGGCCUAUCAGCUAGUUGGUGAGGUAACGGCUCACCAAGGCUAAGACGGGUAGCUGGUCUGAGAGGACGACCAGCCACACUGGAACUGAGACACGGUCCAGACACCUACGGGUGGCAGCAGUCGAGAAUUUUUCACAAUGGGGGAAACCCUGAUCCAGCCAUUCCGCGUGAGUGAAGAAGGCCUUCGGGUUGUAAAGCUCUUUUGUCCGGAACGAAACUGACGGUACCGGAAGAAUAAGCACCGGCUAACUACGUGCCAGCAGCCGCGGCCG
This 283-nucleotide ribosomal RNA is filed under the name uncultured Actinomycetales bacterium. RNAcentral's name for it is "partial 16S ribosomal RNA". It matches the Rfam family "Bacterial small subunit ribosomal RNA", at positions 223 to 523 of the family's 1533-position model. The record is from RNAcentral. Lineage: Bacteria; Bacillati; Actinomycetota; Actinomycetes; Actinomycetales.